This is a long non-coding RNA of Musa acuminata AAA Group (dessert banana), 451 nucleotides long. RefSeq lists it as uncharacterized. The transcript has 3 exons. Lineage: Eukaryota; Viridiplantae; Streptophyta; Magnoliopsida; Zingiberales; Musaceae. The record is from RefSeq and is a predicted model, not a curated record.
GCCUGAGAUUGAUCUCGAGCUCAUGUUCAGGUUUUCUUUUGCUUCACUUUUACAUGCAAGUAUUGCUACAUAUUAGUCCUCACAGAUGUUAAUUUUCAGCCUCACAGUCUGGAAGAGAUGGCAGGACAUAUUGCAGUGGACCUGUUUUUGGAUACAUCUUGCAAGUGGUUAGCUUCAGUGAGGACAGUUCACAGAGACAUCAGUCACUGAAAUGUCUGCAAAUUGACCCCUUUCCUGAUCACUUAUCAGAAAUGUACCAGGCUCUCACAUGCUAAUUAGUAGAUCAGCAUCUAUACGACACCCAUCCCAUAAGGUACACCUGCAAUACACAGGUACAAGCACCUCUGAAACAGUAGGUGUUCUUGCAUCUCAUAGCAAAUAGCAAUAGGAACAGUGGCUUGGCAUGGCUUUCCUCAUCUUUCCAUAAAUGUUGUGUUGAGAAAAAGAUAUC